RNAcentral lists this ribosomal RNA (486 nucleotides) under Triticum aestivum (bread wheat). Its description in RNAcentral is "partial small subunit ribosomal RNA". Lineage: Eukaryota; Viridiplantae; Streptophyta; Magnoliopsida; Poales; Poaceae. The record is from RNAcentral.
AUGGCUGUGCUAGUGCUACCCAAGUGCCUUCUUCUGUUCUCCCUCUGCGCAGUGCUCCUCUCUCUGCCGGGCACCGGCGCCUCCGCCGUGAACUUCACCAUCGGCGUGCAGGGCAUGGUCUGGUGCAAGACCUGCAGGUACAUCGGCUACAACGCCGACAUGGACGCCUCCCCGCUCCAAGGCGUGGAGGUGUACCUGCAGUGCCGGCACGGCCCGCGGCGGCUGAAGAAGUUGCCAGGGGCAUCGGGGCAGGGCGGCUACUUCACCGUCCAGUCGGCGCACAUGGCGUCCUUCACCAACGACGAGUGCAAGGUGUACGUGGAGAGCUCGUCGUCAACCGCGUGCGACCUCGCCGACGAACCUGCUGCCGGCGAGGGGCUGCCGCUCAAGUUCAAGACCUUCGUCCAGCGCGGCGACGGGCUGCAGGCGCUCUACUCCGUCGGCAACUUCUUCGUCCGCCCCAGCGACCCCAACAACUGCUACUGA